GACAAACGCUGGCGGCGUGCUUAACACAUGCAAGUCGAACGAGACGAUUGAAGGCUUGCUUUUAAAAGUCGAGUGGCAAACGGGUGAGUAACGCGUAGACAACCUGCCUUUGAGAUGGGGACAACAGUUCGAAAGGACUGCUAAUACCGAAUGUUGUAUAUUUUCCACAUGGAAGAUAUAUUAAAGAUGGCCUCUAUUUAUAAGCUAUCGCUCAAAGAUGGGUCUGCGUCUGAUUAGCUGGUUGGUGGGGUAACGGCCUACCAAGGCGACGAUCAGUAGCCGGUCUGAGAGGAUGAACGGCCACAUUGGGACUGAGCCACGGCCCAGACUCCUACGGGAGGCAGCAGUGGGGAAUCUUCCACAAUGGACGAAAGUCUGAUGGAGCAACGCCGCGUGAGUGAAGAAGGGUUUCGGCUCGUAAAGCUCUGUUGUCGGGGACGAAUGUGCAGUAUUUGAAUAAAGUACUGCAAUGACGGUACCUGACGAGGAAGCCACGGCUAACUACGUGCCAGCAGCCGCCGUAA
Molecule: ribosomal RNA, 524 nt
Filed under: uncultured bacterium
Lineage: Bacteria
Description: partial 16S ribosomal RNA
Rfam family: Bacterial small subunit ribosomal RNA
Source: RNAcentral